This 231-nucleotide unclassified non-coding RNA is filed under the name uncultured Inocybe. RNAcentral describes it as "sequence contains ITS1". The record is from RNAcentral. Lineage: Eukaryota; Fungi; Basidiomycota; Agaricomycetes; Agaricales; Cortinariaceae.
UCGAAUAAACUUGAACAGGCUGUUGCUGGUCCCCUGGGAUAGCGUGCACGCUUGUCAUCUUUAUCACUUCUCCAAUUGUGCACAUAUUGUAGACCUGGAGCAUGUUGGAUCAUCGUUCCGAGUUGGGACUGCUGUGCUUCACACAACGAGGUCAGCUUUGCCCUUUUGCAAUCAGGUCUAUGUCAUUUUAACCUCUUGAAUGUCGAAUAACUAUGAAAAAUGAAAUAAAUA